This 497-nucleotide ribosomal RNA is filed under the name uncultured bacterium. RNAcentral describes it as "partial 16S ribosomal RNA". It matches the Rfam family "Bacterial small subunit ribosomal RNA", at positions 28 to 507 of the family's 1533-position model. The record is from RNAcentral.
GAUGAACGCUGGCGGCGUGCCUAAUACAUGCAAGUCGAGCGAACAGACGAGGAGCUUGCUCCUCUGACGUUAGCGGCGGACGGGUGAGUAACACGUGGAUAACCUACCUAUAAGACUGGGAUAACUUCGGGAAACCGGAGCUAAUACCGGAUAACAUGUUGAACCGCAUGGUUUAACAGUGAAAGACGGUCUUGCUGUCACUUAUAGAUGGAUCCGCGCCGCAUUAGCUAGUUGGUAAGGUAACGGCUUACCAAGGCAACGAUGCGUAGCCGACCUGAGAGGGUGAUCGGCCACACGGGAACUGAGACACGGUCCAGACUCCUACGGGAGGCAGCAGUAGGGAAUCUUCCGCAAUGGGCGAAAGCCUGACGGAGCAACGCCGCGUGAGUGAAGAAGGUCUUCGGAUCGUAAAACUCUGUUAUUAGGGAAGAACAAAUGUGUAAGUAACUAUGCACGUCUUGACGGUACCUAAUCAGAAAGCCACGGCUAACUACGUG